RNAcentral lists this unclassified non-coding RNA (380 nucleotides) under uncultured bacterium. Its description in RNAcentral is "contains 16S-23S intergenic spacer region". The record is from RNAcentral.
UCCGAUUUGUCACCGGCAGUCUCCCUAGAGUCCCCGGCAUUAUCCGCUGGCAACUAGGGACAGGGGUUGCGCUCGUUGCGGGACUUAACCCAACAUCUCACGACACGAGCUGACGACGGCCAUGCAGCACCUGUACAAGUGUCCCGAAGGAGGCCCCGUGUUUCCACGGGGUUUCACAUGUAUGUCAAGCCUAGGUAAGGUUCUUCGCGUUGCUUCGAAUUAAACCACAUGCUCCGCUGCUUGUGCGGGUCCCCGUCAAUUCCUUUGAGUUUUAGCCUUGCGGCCGUACUCCCCAGACGGGGCACUUAAUGCGUUAGCUUCGGCACGGAGGGAGUUGACACCCCCCACACCUAGCACCCAUCGUUUACGGCGUGGACUAC